GGUUGUCGUCAGCUCGUGUCGUGAGAUUGUUGGGUUAAGUCCCGCAACGAGCGCAACCCCCGCCGUUAGUUGCCAGCGGUUCGGCCGGGCACUCUAACGGGACUGCCCGCGAAAGCGGGAGGAAGGAGGGGACGACGUCUGGUCAGCAUGGCCCUUACGGCCUGGGCGACACACGUGCUACAAUGCCCACUACAAAGCGAUGCCACCCGGCAACGGGGAGCUAAUCGCAAAAAGGUGGGCCCAGUUCGGAUUGGGGUCUGCAACCCGACCCCAUGAAGCCGGAAUCGCUAGUAAUCGCGGAUCAGCCAUGCCGCGGUGAAUACGUUCCCGGGCCUU
This 336-nucleotide ribosomal RNA is filed under the name uncultured Thermus sp. RNAcentral describes it as "bacterial SSU rRNA". It matches the Rfam family "Bacterial small subunit ribosomal RNA", at positions 1047 to 1382 of the family's 1533-position model. The record is from RNAcentral. Lineage: Bacteria; Thermotogati; Deinococcota; Deinococci; Thermales; Thermaceae.